ACGGGAAUGAAAUGUUUUUUCGGAAUAAAAAGUAGUUUAUGUUAUCCAAAUAUCUUUAUUCAAAAAUCACGCCAGUAAGUAUUUUCUGGUAAAAAAGUUGAAGACAGACACAAAAAAAAAGAUACGGAUAUACUUCGCACGAUGGGUGCGCCACGUUAUAGGUGGGAUAAUAGAAAGAUAGAAUACAGACGGGCAUUUAAUGUAUACCU
Non-coding RNA from Cinara cedri, 209 nucleotides. Lineage: Eukaryota; Metazoa; Arthropoda; Insecta; Hemiptera; Aphididae. The record is from the annotation of a GenBank genome assembly.